CGAACGCUGGCGGCAUGCCUAAUACAUGCAAGUCGAACGAAUGCCCUUCGGGGUGUUAGUGGCGCACGGGUGCGUAACGCGUGGGAAUCUGCCCUUUGCUUCGGAAUAACAGUUAGAAAUGACUGCUAAUACCGGAUGAUGUCGCAAGACCAAAGAUUUAUCGGCAAGGGAUGAGCCCGCGUAGGAUUAGCUAGUUGGUGGGGUAAAGGCCUACCAAGGCGACGAUCCUUAGCUGGUCUGAGAGGAUGAUCAGCCACACUGGGACUGAGACACGGUCCAGACUCCUACGGGAGGCAGCAGUAGGGAAUAUUGGACAAUGGGCGAAAGCCUGAUCCAGCAAUGCCGCGUGAGUGAUGAAGGCCUUAGGGUUGUAAAGCUCUUUUACCCGAGAUGAUAAUGACAGUAUCGGGAGAAUAAGCUCCGGCUAACUCCGU
This 434-nucleotide ribosomal RNA is filed under the name uncultured bacterium. RNAcentral describes it as "bacterial SSU rRNA". It matches the Rfam family "Bacterial small subunit ribosomal RNA", at positions 30 to 506 of the family's 1533-position model. The record is from RNAcentral.